AACGCGAAGAACCUUACCUAGCCUUGACAUGCAUUGGACCGGCGCUGAAAGGCGCCUUUCCCGCAAGGGACCGGUGCACAGGUGCUGCAUGGCUGUCGUCAGCUCGUGUCGUGAGAUGUUGCGUUAAGUCGCGCAACGAGCGCAACCCCUGUCCUUAGUUGCCACCAUUCAGUUGGGCACUCUAGGGAGACAAACCCUCUUUGAGGGUGGGAAGGUGGGGAUGACGUCAAGUCAGGAUGGCCCUUACGGCUAGGGCUGCACACGUGCUACAAUGCCCGGUACAGAGGGAAGCAAUACCGCGAGGUGGAGCAAAUCCUCAAAACCGGGCCCAGUUCAGAUUGUAGUCUGCAACUCGACUACAUGAAGUUGGAAUCGCUAGUAAUGGCGCAUCAGCUACGGCGCCGUGAAUACGUUCCCGGGCCUUGUACACACCGAUAGC
Molecule: ribosomal RNA, 439 nt
Filed under: uncultured bacterium
Lineage: Bacteria
Description: bacterial SSU rRNA
Rfam family: Bacterial small subunit ribosomal RNA
Source: RNAcentral